RNAcentral lists this non-coding RNA (20 nucleotides) under Mus musculus (house mouse). The record is from RNAcentral. Lineage: Eukaryota; Metazoa; Chordata; Mammalia; Rodentia; Muridae.
UGGGAGAACUAAAAAAGAAA